Molecule: ribosomal RNA, 2903 nt
Filed under: Escherichia coli
Lineage: Bacteria; Pseudomonadati; Pseudomonadota; Gammaproteobacteria; Enterobacterales; Enterobacteriaceae
Description: 23S ribosomal RNA
Rfam family: Bacterial large subunit ribosomal RNA
Source: RNAcentral
GGUUAAGCGACUAAGCGUACACGGUGGAUGCCCUGGCAGUCAGAGGCGAUGAAGGACGUGCUAAUCUGCGAUAAGCGUCGGUAAGGUGAUAUGAACCGUUAUAACCGGCGAUUUCCGAAUGGGGAAACCCAGUGUGUUUCGACACACUAUCAUUAACUGAAUCCAUAGGUUAAUGAGGCGAACCGGGGGAACUGAAACAUCUAAGUACCCCGAGGAAAAGAAAUCAACCGAGAUUCCCCCAGUAGCGGCGAGCGAACGGGGAGCAGCCCAGAGCCUGAAUCAGUGUGUGUGUUAGUGGAAGCGUCUGGAAAGGCGCGCGAUACAGGGUGACAGCCCCGUACACAAAAAUGCACAUAUUGUGAGCUCGAUGAGUAGGGCGGGACACGUGGUAUCCUGUCUGAAUAUGGGGGGACCAUCCUCCAAGGCUAAAUACUCCUGACUGACCGAUAGUGAACCAGUACCGUGAGGGAAAGGCGAAAAGAACCCCGGCGAGGGGAGUGAAAAAGAACCUGAAACCGUGUACGUACAAGCAGUGGGAGCCUCUUUUAUGGGGUGACUGCGUACCUUUUGUAUAAUGGGUCAGCGACUUAUAUUCUGUAGCAAGGUUAACCGAAUAGGGGAGCCGAAGGGAAACCGAGUCUUAACUGGGCGUUAAGUUGCAGGGUAUAGACCCGAAACCCGGUGAUCUAGCCAUGGGCAGGUUGAAGGUUGGGUAACACUAACUGGAGGACCGAACCGACUAAUGUUGAAAAAUUAGCGGAUGACUUGUGGCUGGGGGUGAAAGGCCAAUCAAACCGGGAGAUAGCUGGUUCUCCCCGAAAGCUAUUUAGGUAGCGCCUCGUGAAUUCAUCUCCGGGGGUAGAGCACUGUUUCGGCAAGGGGGUCAUCCCGACUUACCAACCCGAUGCAAACUGCGAAUACCGGAGAAUGUUAUCACGGGAGACACACGGCGGGUGCUAACGUCCGUCGUGAAGAGGGAAACAACCCAGACCGCCAGCUAAGGUCCCAAAGUCAUGGUUAAGUGGGAAACGAUGUGGGAAGGCCCAGACAGCCAGGAUGUUGGCUUAGAAGCAGCCAUCAUUUAAAGAAAGCGUAAUAGCUCACUGGUCGAGUCGGCCUGCGCGGAAGAUGUAACGGGGCUAAACCAUGCACCGAAGCUGCGGCAGCGACACUAUGUGUUGUUGGGUAGGGGAGCGUUCUGUAAGCCUGUGAAGGUGUGCUGUGAGGCAUGCUGGAGGUAUCAGAAGUGCGAAUGCUGACAUAAGUAACGAUAAAGCGGGUGAAAAGCCCGCUCGCCGGAAGACCAAGGGUUCCUGUCCAACGUUAAUCGGGGCAGGGUGAGUCGACCCCUAAGGCGAGGCCGAAAGGCGUAGUCGAUGGGAAACAGGUUAAUAUUCCUGUACUUGGUGUUACUGCGAAGGGGGGACGGAGAAGGCUAUGUUGGCCGGGCGACGGUUGUCCCGGUUUAAGCGUGUAGGCUGGUUUUCCAGGCAAAUCCGGAAAAUCAAGGCUGAGGCGUGAUGACGAGGCACUACGGUGCUGAAGCAACAAAUGCCCUGCUUCCAGGAAAAGCCUCUAAGCAUCAGGUAACAUCAAAUCGUACCCCAAACCGACACAGGUGGUCAGGUAGAGAAUACCAAGGCGCUUGAGAGAACUCGGGUGAAGGAACUAGGCAAAAUGGUGCCGUAACUUCGGGAGAAGGCACGCUGAUAUGUAGGUGAAGUCCCUUGCGGAUGGAGCUGAAAUCAGUCGAAGAUACCAGCUGGCUGCAACUGUUUAUUAAAAACACAGCACUGUGCAAACACGAAAGUGGACGUAUACGGUGUGACGCCUGCCCGGUGCCGGAAGGUUAAUUGAUGGGGUCAGCGCAAGCGAAGCUCUUGAUCGAAGCCCCGGUAAACGGCGGCCGUAACUAUAACGGUCCUAAGGUAGCGAAAUUCCUUGUCGGGUAAGUUCCGACCUGCACGAAUGGCGUAAUGAUGGCCAGGCUGUCUCCACCCGAGACUCAGUGAAAUUGAACUCGCUGUGAAGAUGCAGUGUACCCGCGGCAAGACGGAAAGACCCCGUGAACCUUUACUAUAGCUUGACACUGAACAUUGAGCCUUGAUGUGUAGGAUAGGUGGGAGGCUUAGAAGUGUGGACGCCAGUCUGCAUGGAGCCGACCUUGAAAUACCACCCUUUAAUGUUUGAUGUUCUAACGUUGACCCGUAAUCCGGGUUGCGGACAGUGUCUGGUGGGUAGUUUGACUGGGGCGGUCUCCUCCUAAAGAGUAACGGAGGAGCACGAAGGUUGGCUAAUCCUGGUCGGACAUCAGGAGGUUAGUGCAAUGGCAUAAGCCAGCUUGACUGCGAGCGUGACGGCGCGAGCAGGUGCGAAAGCAGGUCAUAGUGAUCCGGUGGUUCUGAAUGGAAGGGCCAUCGCUCAACGGAUAAAAGGUACUCCGGGGAUAACAGGCUGAUACCGCCCAAGAGUUCAUAUCGACGGCGGUGUUUGGCACCUCGAUGUCGGCUCAUCACAUCCUGGGGCUGAAGUAGGUCCCAAGGGUAUGGCUGUUCGCCAUUUAAAGUGGUACGCGAGCUGGGUUUAGAACGUCGUGAGACAGUUCGGUCCCUAUCUGCCGUGGGCGCUGGAGAACUGAGGGGGGCUGCUCCUAGUACGAGAGGACCGGAGUGGACGCAUCACUGGUGUUCGGGUUGUCAUGCCAAUGGCACUGCCCGGUAGCUAAAUGCGGAAGAGAUAAGUGCUGAAAGCAUCUAAGCACGAAACUUGCCCCGAGAUGAGUUCUCCCUGACUCCUUGAGAGUCCUGAAGGAACGUUGAAGACGACGACGUUGAUAGGCCGGGUGUGUAAGCGCAGCGAUGCGUUGAGCUAACCGGUACUAAUGAACCGUGAGGCUUAACCUU